GACGAACGCUGGCGGCGUGCUUAACACAUGCAAGUCGAACGGAGUUUCUCGGAUCAAGGCUUCGGCCAAGUGAAUUGAAACUUAGUGGCGGACUGGUGAGUAACGCGUGAGGAACCUGCCUUUCAGAGGGGGACAACAGUUGGAAACGACUGCUAAUACCGCAUGACGCAUGGACACGGCAUCGUGACCAUGCCAAAGAUUUAUCGCUGAAAGAUGGCCUCGCGUCUGAUUAGAUAAGUUGGUGAGGUAAACGGCUCACCAAGUCGACGAUCAGUAGCCGGACUGAGAGGUUGAACGGCCACAUUGGGACUGAGACACGGCCCAGACUCCUACGGGAGGCAGCAUGGGGAAUAUUGCAC
RNAcentral lists this ribosomal RNA (359 nucleotides) under uncultured bacterium. Its description in RNAcentral is "bacterial SSU rRNA". It matches the Rfam family "Bacterial small subunit ribosomal RNA", at positions 28 to 369 of the family's 1533-position model. The record is from RNAcentral.